This 492-nucleotide ribosomal RNA is filed under the name uncultured bacterium. Its description in RNAcentral is "partial 16S ribosomal RNA". It matches the Rfam family "Bacterial small subunit ribosomal RNA", at positions 29 to 507 of the family's 1533-position model. The record is from RNAcentral.
AGUGAACGCUGGCGGUAGGCCUAACACAUGCAAGUCGAACGGCAGCACAGUAAGAGCUUGCUCUUACGGGUGGCGAGUGGCGGACGGGUGAGGAAUACAUCGGAAUCUACUUUUUCGUGGGGGAUAACGUAGGGAAACUUACGCUAAUACCGCAUACGACCUACGGGUGAAAGCAGGGGAUCUUCGGACCUUGCGCGAUUGAAUGAGCCGAUGUCGGAUUAGCUAGUUGGCGGGGUAAAGGCCCACCAAGGCGACGAUCCGUAGCUGGUCUGAGAGGAUGAUAAGCCACACUGGAACUGAGAAACGGUCCAGACUACUACGGGAGGCAGCAGUGGGGAAUAUUAGACAAUGGGCGCAAGCCUGAUCCAGCCAUACCGCGUGGGUGAAGAAGGCCUUCGGGUUGUAAAGCCCUUUUGCUGGGAAAGAAAAGCAGAAGGUUAAUACCCCGCUGUUCUGACGGUACCCAAAGAAUAAGCACCGGCUAACUUCGUG